This 224-nucleotide long non-coding RNA is filed under the name Brachypodium distachyon (stiff brome). RNAcentral's name for it is "long non-coding RNA (BDIS_LNC003926)". Lineage: Eukaryota; Viridiplantae; Streptophyta; Magnoliopsida; Poales; Poaceae. The record is from RNAcentral.
UCCAUUUUUGGUAUGGUUAUUAUGGAAACACUACAUUUUACAUGGAAUUAGCUAAAUCAUUUGUGCUUUCGAUAGAAAAAUUGUUGUCAAAGUUGUGUACUAAAGAUUGUUUCAAUUUUUCAAGAAUGCAAGAUUGUUUCAAUUUUGAACUGUCAUCUACUUGAAACAAAUACAGUAAAAGACUCCAAGUUUGUAAUGCAAGAGAGCAGAAAAACAAAUGAGAU